This is a long non-coding RNA of Varanus komodoensis (Komodo dragon), 1593 nucleotides long. Lineage: Eukaryota; Metazoa; Chordata; Lepidosauria; Squamata; Varanidae. The record is from Ensembl.
CAAAUGCAUUUCAAAUAAAUCAAGUGAUGCUAUGAAAGACUGUUACAAGAUAUCAUGCAAGACAUCGGCACCAUAAGCAAGACCUACUCUACAAGUGACUUUUCUGCUUUAUUUUCAGGAAUAUUAUCUGUUGCAGAUUAUUCAUGCACUGCUUUACUAGAAAACAUCAACAACUCCAGUCUCACUUCAAAUAACACAGAAAUAUUUGCAUGCUGCUCAGACCUCUUUAACAGUGCAAAUAGUUCCACAGAGAUCUUCCUGAAAGCAAACAACAACUCAAGGAUCUUGACAGGAUGUUGUAAACUUCUGAACCAACCCGUGAUUAAUUGCAGCUGGAUCCCUACAUUUCCAUAAACUAAGGCAUCAUAUUGGAAGAGACAUGCAUUGGACUUUACCUCUCUUAUGGACUGGUAGUAACAAAGAUUGAAAGUGGAGUCAUUGUCUUGCUGAUGGAGAUAGAGCAUAUCUUGCUGAAACUAGAUUGACAACUUUGAAGGUCCUCCAGUUUUAUUGGAGUGAUUUGGUAAGUAUCCAUGAACACUUGGGUCCUCUUACAAAGACCAGGCCACAGUGAAGCACAUAUUGAAACAUUAUAAGCCAUUUCAAAUAUUUAUUUUAAACAAUUCCAAUUAUCCUGGUUGUUUUUUAUACUUCUUAAAUCUUCUUACUUUAACUGUGGAGGAUGACAAAGUUUUGCUCUAUUAGACAAUGGUCCUAUGUAUUUCUGCUCAGACUAAUUGAUUUCUUUGGGACUUACUUCCAAGCAAGUAUAAUAAUGUUUACAGCCUGACUUGUCACUUUUAAAUGGUACAGUUGUGGUUUUGUCAUUACAUGAGUUAAGAGAUUUACAUUGAAAUCAGCUUUCAGUGUAGCUUUGUAUUAUUUUCUCAUGCAUUGAAAUCUCUAUAACAUCUAGAUAUUACUAGUAUUACAUUGCAAGUAUUUAAAUUGUGACUUAGUCUUGCAAGGAACCCAAGGUGGCUUAACGUUCUGUUCCUCUCCAUUUUAUCCUCACGACAGCAAUCUUGUGAGAUAGGCCAGGCUGAGUGACGGGCCCCAAGUCACCCAGUGGGCUUCAUGGCUGAGUGGGAACUAGAGCCCUACUCCUGAGUCACAUUGUGCUACAUCAAACCUGUGAGACUGUGUUUUCAAGUAGCAACCCAGAACAGAAAUUCCACUUGACCAAAACCAGUUAUUUCUUAAAAAUCAACUAAGGGAGAAAGAGUUUUGAAAUCUAGGACAGAUUACCUUUUUAAAUGCAGAAACACUAGCUCGAAUUGAAUAUAGCUGCUGACCCUGCUGGUUCCAUUGUGUUUGUAGUGCUGAACACUUGUGGUCCUUAGUGGUCCUUAAAAGGAACCCUGGAAAUAAGCAGAAAUUAUCUUUUCCAAAACAAGAACAUUCAGCAGAACCCCCUCCUGCAAGUUCUGAUGAUUUGCACCCUUCCGUAAACAAGUGUUUCUUCUCAUUUGGGAUUGCUCCAUGGGCCAGUAUGUUCCCAUUUGACUGGCAGCAUAUUCUGCCAGUGCAUGAGCACAAUUGGAUACUGUCCAAGUGUAACAAUCAUUACCAAUGCAAUAAGUCUGCUGCUAU